Long non-coding RNA from Oreochromis niloticus (Nile tilapia), 222 nucleotides. RefSeq lists it as uncharacterized. NCBI's taxonomy places the organism in Eukaryota, Metazoa, Chordata, Actinopteri, Cichliformes, Cichlidae. The record is from RefSeq and is a predicted model, not a curated record. The transcript has 2 exons.
GCCCCCCCCCUCCAAGCAACCUCCACCUGCAAGCACUGCCCUGGCCAGCCACAGUUUCCCCUGCCCUGUCCCUGCACCCAGUCGUCCCUGUAAUCUAGUCGUAGUUCCGUUAUGGUCAUAGUUUCUCUUACCUCAGACAUCUAGUUUACGUUCCUUAUUACUAGUCUGAGUUUUCUGUUGAUUUCCAAACAUUGAGAAUAAAAGACCUUUUGUUACACCGCA